AUUGAACGCUGGCGGCAUGCUUUACACAUGCAAGUCGAACGGCAGCACGGGUGCUUGCACCUGGUGGCGAGUGGCGAACGGGUGAGUAAUGCAUCGGAACGUGCCCAUGAGUGGGGGAUAGCCCGGCGAAAGCCGGAUUAAUACCGCAUACGCCCUUAGGGGAAAGCGGGGGAUCUUCGGACCUCGCGCCAUUGGAGCGGCCGAUGUCGGAUUAGCUAGUAGGUGAGGUAAAGGCUCACCUAGGCGACGAUCCGUAGCUGGUCUGAGAGGAUGAUCAGCCACACUGGGACUGAGACACGGCCCAGACUCCUACGGGAGGCAGCAGUGGGGAAUUUUGGACAAUGGGCGCAAGCCUGAUCCAGCCAUGCCGCGUGAGUGAAGAAGGCCUCGGUUGUAAG
This 398-nucleotide ribosomal RNA is filed under the name uncultured bacterium. RNAcentral describes it as "bacterial SSU rRNA". It matches the Rfam family "Bacterial small subunit ribosomal RNA", at positions 29 to 429 of the family's 1533-position model. The record is from RNAcentral.